CCAGAUCUCUAAUCCAUCAUGACUUUAUGUAGCUACAUUCCUUUGCUGCUUUAUAAACUCCCAAUUUUAAUCAGUUGAGAGAGAUGGAUUUGAGACUGAUCGCCUCUCUCUCUAGCUGAUGUCACCUGAAUAAAAAGCCUUCUUCCCUGGCAAUACUCAUUGUUUCAGUGAUUGGCUUUCUGUGCAGGAAGCAACAGGGUCCUCCCCUGGUACUUCAGUAACAGAUUUUGGUUUCCUGACUGGGAAUGUGUUGCUCACAGUUCACUGGCCACAGGCCAGAAGAGUUUCAGAAGACCUCCUAGGCAGCUGCCUGUCUUUGUUUUUUUGGCCAAAGGAUUAGAAAGCAAUGCUUUCCUCCAGUAUAACUUGAUGCUGUACUCUUGGCUUUUCUUGAUAACGUCUGAAUUGCUCCACGUAACCAGAAAACUUCUCAUGCUGUUCCCCUGCUCAAGUCCACUGGAUGCUUCAGGUCUCCAGCCCAGCCCCAGGAGAGAAGUCAGUGACCCAGACCUAAGUCAACCAGUGCACAGCAUUUCCCCACAUCAGAGUCAAGAUGAAGAAGUGGGCAUGACCUAAAUCAGUUCAACCAGAAUUAAUCCCACAAGUUUUAUAGGAUCACCUGGAAAAGAGGCAGAGAGUAGUAAGUCUGUAAGGCUAGAACAGCUAUAGCAAUGCUACUGACCAUGGGGAAUUUAAUCCAGAUGAAGCAGAAAUGAGAGAUGGAGAGAAGAGAGUCCUGGUGAUCCCAUCUGAGCCCCUCCAUCAAACAUCCCUACUUGUAUUUUUCACUUUCAACUGCCAUUAAAUACUCCUUUUGCUAAGCCCAUUUUGGUUGGUUUUCUGUUACUAACCACUAAAAUUACUGGCUAUAAUGAUUUCAGAUAAGUCAGAUGUUACUAUAUGGAAAUCAAUAUUUAUCAAGCCAAUAUAAGCGUGUAUCAAUUAAUACUUCUAUCCCCAGAUUCUAUUUUCCUCUUAUACUAAACUUCAGGAAUUAUGAAUUCUUCCUGAACGUAAGACUACUAUUUUUUGUAGCUGUAACCUAAAGCACAUUGGACUAUUCCUUCUUGUCUUCUUAUAACCCCAAAAUAGGAAUUAUAAUUUCUUACUGAAAUUUCCCUAAAUUUUUUCUCACCAAAAUUUAGUUAAUUUUUCCCUAAAAUUUCUUUACUAUAUUUCACUGAAAUCUACUAUGUAGUAUUUUCUCUAGAUGAAAACUUUCCCUGAAAAUUGCAAGAAGUGAAAACAUUGGCUUUGAAAUGAUAGAUAAUUCAUAAACUAUUCUUAAGGAUUAUUCUCAGGAAUAAUUAUUUUGUCUGGCCUACAUAACCCUAAAUAGUGGUAAAAUAUACAGUAGUUUAAAACAUGGUUAGGGGCCCAAUCUAGAACAAAGAAAAACUGCCUGUGAGUAAAACAGUCAAACAUGUUUUAGACAUGUCUCGCAUCCACCAGUGUGAGUCGAGUGCAAAGGGUUACUGUAAACUGACCAGGUAUUAGCAGGUCAUCUUCAAACCCACAUCAACCCACCUCACCUCAGAGCCAGUUCUAGGACCCUCCACGGGUCAGCCUAAUUUCCCUUGGCCCAGCCCAAGCUGGCUCUUUCUCUUUGCACAGCAAUGCUCACACACCCUGGCCAAAAAAGCUUUCGAAGUAUUUCUUUUUGAAUGAGCAUAAAGUGCCUAUUGAGACCAAGAAAGCCUCCUUAUUGUGGGGUUGACCUUACCACUGUGUCCACAUUCCCCAGAGGUAUGGACAGUAGCUACAGCUGAGGAAAUGUCAUUCAGCAGUUUUUUGCGUAUGAAAUUUGAGAAAUUUGCAUGAUACAUGUGGAGCCAAUUGUUCAUAUCUAAGCAUAUUAGCUGUUUUUCUCCUGAGAACACAAAAAAGUUAUUGAGAGUGAAAAGAAGUCCCAUUGGAGGAGGGGAAACCUGAGGGGCCUCCCUGAGUACUAUUCACUGCAGGCCUCAUUUCAUUCCCAAUGACUUCUGUGGAAGCCAAUUUAAAGAAGGUCACAGGUAUUUACCUUUCUUCCCUGUCUGUUUCAAUCUGUUUUAUAGAGAAGGAGUGAAAAUGCCAAUGCCAAUGCUCAUUCUUGAGCCCUUGGUGCAUUCGUUCUGCAGAUUUUUUUAAUACAAGGGUAGACUUUUAAAACAACAAAAGAAAAUGUCAUUGGAAUAGACUUAAGCUUUACUUUGACUUAAGAUAGAUUUCAUUCCUUGGCUUAGACUGGAUUACAUUCACCUAGUCCUGUCAUUUCUUACUAAGGGAGGAGACCACCCCUCAUAGUGUAUUAUGCCCAAUUUCUGCCUCCAAAGAAAGAAGUAAAAACUAAAAGGCAGAAAUGAAAUCCACAAGCAGACAGCCCGGCACCACACCCUGGGCCUGGUAGUUAAAGAUCCACCCCUGACCUAAUCGGUUAUGUUAUCUAUAGAUUAUAGACAUUGUAUAGAAAAGCACUGUAAAAAUCCCUGUCCUGUUCUGUUCCGUUCUAGUUACCAGUGCAUGCAGCCCCCAGUCACGUACCCCCUGCUUGCUCAAUCGAUCACAACCCUCUCACACAGACCCCCUUAGAGUUGUGAGCCCUUAAAAGGGACAAGAAUUGCUCACUCAGGGAGCUCGGUUGUUGGAGACAUGAGUCUUGCCGAAGCUCCUGGCUGAAUAAAGCCCUUCCUUCU
Molecule: long non-coding RNA, 2675 nt
Filed under: Homo sapiens (human)
Lineage: Eukaryota; Metazoa; Chordata; Mammalia; Primates; Hominidae
Description: HSALNT0093367
Source: RNAcentral